Molecule: transfer RNA, 72 nt
Filed under: Candidatus Woesebacteria bacterium
Lineage: Bacteria; Candidatus Woeseibacteriota
Description: tRNA-Arg
Rfam family: tRNA
About the family: Transfer RNA (tRNA) molecules are approximately 80 nucleotides in length. Their secondary structure includes four short double-helical elements and three loops (D, anti-codon, and T loops).
Source: RNAcentral
GCUCCCGUAGUUUAAUGGACAGAACAAGGCUUUGCGGAAGCCUAGAUGCAGGUUCGAUUCCUGCCGGGAGCA